This 501-nucleotide ribosomal RNA is filed under the name uncultured bacterium. RNAcentral's name for it is "partial 16S ribosomal RNA". It matches the Rfam family "Bacterial small subunit ribosomal RNA", at positions 30 to 523 of the family's 1533-position model. The record is from RNAcentral.
AUUGAACGCUGGCGGCAGGCUUAACACAUGCAAGUCGAGCGGAGAUGAGGUGCUUGCACCUUAUCUUAGCGGCGGACGGGUGAGUAAUGCUUAGGAAUCUGCCUAUUAGUGGGGGACAACAUUCCGAAAGGAAUGCUAAUACCGCAUACGUCCUACGGGAGAAAGCAGGGGAUCUUCGGACCUUGCGCUAAUAGAUGAGCCUAAGUCGGAUUAGCUAGUUGGUGGGGUAAAGGCCUACCAAGGCGACGAUCUGUAGCGGGUCUGAGAGGAUGAGCCGCCACACUGGGACUGAGACACGGCCCAGACUCCUACGGGGGGUAGCAGUGGGGAAUAUUGGACAAUGGGGGGAACCCUGAUCCAGCCAUGCCGCGUGUGUGAAGAAGGCCUUAUGGUUGUAAAGCACUUUAAGCGAGGAGGAGGCUACUGAGACUAAUACUCUUGGAUAGUGGACGUUACUCGCAGAAUAAGCACCGGCUAACUCUGUGCCAGCAGCCGCCGUAA